AUUAAGUAUGUGCUUCUGCUGCAAAAAUGGACAGUCAAUAACGUGCAGGUGUUGAGAUGGGCAUUUUUGAGUUUAGGAUGCCCUUGUAUGGCCUGCAUACAGUC
This is a non-coding RNA of Beta vulgaris subsp. vulgaris (sugar beet), 104 nucleotides long. The record is from Rfam. Lineage: Eukaryota; Viridiplantae; Streptophyta; Magnoliopsida; Caryophyllales; Amaranthaceae.